RNAcentral lists this ribosomal RNA (383 nucleotides) under uncultured eukaryote. RNAcentral's name for it is "partial 18S ribosomal RNA". It matches the Rfam family "Eukaryotic small subunit ribosomal RNA", at positions 592 to 976 of the family's 1831-position model. The record is from RNAcentral.
CAAUAGCGUAUAUUAAAGUUGUUGCAGUUAAAAAGCUCGUAGUUGGAUUUCUGGUGGGAGCGAUCGGUCUGGCGCUUAGCGCGAGUACUUGCAUCGUCUCCGGCCAUCCUUGGGGAGAGUCUGUCUGGCAUUAGGUUGUCGGGCAGAGGAUCUUCAUCGUUUACUGUGAAAAAAUUAGAGUGUUCAAAGCAGGCUUAUGCCGUUGAAUAUAUUAGCAUGGAAUAAUAAGAUAGGACUUUGGUACUAUUUUGUUGGUUUGCGCACCAAAGUAAUGAUUAAUAGGGACAGUUGGGGGUAUUCGUAUUCCGUUGUCAGAGGUGAAAUUCUUGGAUUUACGGAGGACGAACUACUGCGAAAGCAUUUACCAAGGAUGUUUUCAUUAA